GAUGAACGCUGGCGGCGUGCCUAAUACAUGCAAGUCGAACGAUGAACCCGGAGCUUGCUCCGGUGGAUUAGUGGCGAACGGGUGAGUAACACGUGAGUAACCUGCCCUUGACUCUGGGAUAACGCUCCGAAAGGAGUGCUAAUACCGGAUACUCACAUCGAGGCACAUGCCUUGGUGUGGAAAGUUUUUCGGAAAGGGAUGGAGUCGCGGCCUAUCAGCUUGUUGGUGAGGUAACGGCUCACCAAGGCGACGACGGGUAGCCGGCCUGAGAGGGCGACCGGCCACACUGGGACUGAGACACGGCCCAGACUCCUACGUGAGGCAGCAGUGGGGAAUAUUGCACAAUGGGCGCAAGCCUGAUGCAGCGACGCCGCGUGAGGGAUGAAGGUCUUCGGAUUGUAAACCUCUUUCAGUAGGGACGAAGCGAAAGUGACGGUACCUAAAGAAGAAGCACCGGCUAACUACGUGCCAGCCGCCGCUGUAA
This 484-nucleotide ribosomal RNA is filed under the name uncultured bacterium. Its description in RNAcentral is "partial 16S ribosomal RNA". It matches the Rfam family "Bacterial small subunit ribosomal RNA", at positions 28 to 523 of the family's 1533-position model. The record is from RNAcentral.